RNAcentral lists this long non-coding RNA (752 nucleotides) under Homo sapiens (human). Its description in RNAcentral is "HSALNT0083695". Lineage: Eukaryota; Metazoa; Chordata; Mammalia; Primates; Hominidae. The record is from RNAcentral.
CAGCAAUCUCAAACCAGAAGCAGGAGCCGUCGAACUACCCCAACGCUAACCACAGAUCUGUGUUGCAGAAGUUUUAUUCCAGACACCCACUUCCAAAAGGUCUGGAGCACCUUUCUCCUACUAGCACAAACUCUACCCUCUGCAUGGCAGAUUGAGAUUACUGGAUUGUGAUUUCCCCUGCCCAGCUCACUUGUGGAGUAGAAAUUCCAUACCAGGAAAGACAAAGGAAAAGACCAGGAUGACAUUACUUAUCCAGCACCUACACAUAGAGCAAAGAUGACCAUCUAUGACAAGACCAUGCCCUGCUCGGGAGAGAUUCUGCCAGUGGAAAGACAGUGCAUAAGGACUGCACAUGCUACAGUUCUGCCUGAUGGGACUCAUUAUUUGCAAAAGAGUGUGAAAAACUUCAUGCCUAAGGACAUUGAUUUUUUAAUGUUGAUAUAAUUUGGAUUUGUGUCCCUGCCCAAAUAACAUAUCAAAUUGUAAUCCCCAGUGUUGGAGGAGGGGUCUAGUGGGAGGUGAUUGGAUGAUGGGGCAUAUUUUUUCUUUGCUGUUCUCAGGAUAGUGCAUGAGUUCCCACAAGAUCUGAUUGUUUUAAAAGUGUACAGCAUGUCCUGCUUCAUUCUCUUCCUCCUGCUCCAGCCAGUAGAAUGUGCCUGCUUUCCCUUUGCCUUCUGCCAUGAUUGUAAGUUUCCUGAGGCCUCCCCACCCAUGCUUCCUGUACAGCCUGCAGAACAGUGAGCCAAUUAAAC